GGGAUUAACUUCACCUAUCGGGGGCAG
This 27-nucleotide non-coding RNA is filed under the name Mus musculus (house mouse). The record is from RNAcentral. Lineage: Eukaryota; Metazoa; Chordata; Mammalia; Rodentia; Muridae.